GUGCUCACUUCAGCAGCAUAUAUACUAAAAUUGGAAUGAUACAAAGAAGAUUAGCAUGGCCCCUGCGCAAGGUUGACAUAUACAUUUGUGAAGCAUUCUGUAUUUUU
This is a small nuclear RNA of Pan troglodytes (chimpanzee), 107 nucleotides long. Lineage: Eukaryota; Metazoa; Chordata; Mammalia; Primates; Hominidae. The record is from Ensembl.